UACGGAGGGUGCUAGCGUUGUUCGGAAUUACUGGGCGUAAAGCGCACGUAGGCGGCUUUGCAAGUUAGAGGUGAAAGCCCGGGGCUCAACUCCGGAAUUGCCUUUAAAACUGCAUCGCUAGAAUUGUGGAGAGGUAAGUGGAAUUCCGAGUGUAGAGGUGAAAUUCGUAGAUAUUCGGAAGAACACCAGUGGCGAAGGCGACUUACUGGACACAUAUUGACGCUGAGGUGCGAAAGCGUGGGGAGCAAGCAGG
RNAcentral lists this ribosomal RNA (253 nucleotides) under uncultured bacterium. RNAcentral's name for it is "partial 16S ribosomal RNA". It matches the Rfam family "Bacterial small subunit ribosomal RNA", at positions 524 to 776 of the family's 1533-position model. The record is from RNAcentral.